Delphinapterus leucas (beluga whale) is the source of this 2339-nucleotide non-coding RNA. The record is from RefSeq and is a predicted model, not a curated record. NCBI's taxonomy places the organism in Eukaryota, Metazoa, Chordata, Mammalia, Artiodactyla, Monodontidae.
CAGGGUGCUGAAAGAAAAACUGGGAGUCGGGACAAGAUUCCCUUUGGAGUUCAGCCAGGGUUGAGUAGCAGGUCCAGGAGUGCUGAACACGCAGAGGAGAGCUGGUUAGCCAACGUAUAUCUGGGACAGACCUGGGUAUGUGAGGAACUGCACCUUUGUUCUUUUUUCGGCUGUGAGAAGAGCCAGCAGGACUGAGGUGGGGUCUGAAACGCCAAGUGCCCAGAAGAUUUUCUCGUCGAAUUGCAAAAGCCGGUGCUUGGUGGGGACGCUGUGGGACCGCCCGCUGGCUUCCAGGGGUGCAGGGCCAGCUGGGGAAUGUCAGCGCAUACAGUGGAAACUGCAGUGAAGUUUGAAUGCAGGAAAGUCCACAGGCGAUGUCGUCCGGCUUUGCCUUGGGUUUACAGGAUGUUAGAGCUGGGAAGGAUUCUGGAAAUCAGUUAAAUCCAGAAGUUUUCUACCUGUGGUUUUGCAGACGUGACUUAGGUGCUGUGGGACCCUCACCACCCAGUCAACUAGAUCAGGUACGUUUUGAGCCUCUUCUAUAUUCGGGAACAGCAAGUGGUUCUGAGUUUGGGCCCUGAACUCAGCGGGGGAAGGAUGGAGGUGCAGCAGCCCGGACGAGACCCGAAUCUACCCCUCCUGGGCUCUGUGACGCUGGGUGACCUGCUGCUGGACCUACUGGAGCUUCAGUUUUCUUCUCUGUAAAGUGAGCGUCACAACAGGUACUUAUUCUGGUUGUAAGAAGUAAAUGAUGAUAAUGAAAAAUAGUCAAAGCUAACACUUACCGAAUCCUUGCAACUUGCCAGGUGCUUUUCUGAGUUCUUUCCGUGAACCACUCAGUGAGUUCUGUUGUAGACAGGACACCUGUAGUGCAGAGAGGAUGACUUGCCCAGAGUUCCAGCUGCAAUUGGUGGCACCAGGGCCGGAUUCCAAACAGGGCUACCAUCUUGACGACAGUGUUCUCCUGCCUCUCGCCAUGGGUAACAAACUAUGGAGAACUGUAAUGUAUUGAGCCUGGACGGCGUACCAGGCAUUGUGCUAAGAGCUUUCCAUGGAUGCUUGCAACGCACGUCCUCCAGCAGUGUUUGGAGUUGUGGUGUGUUAUUACCCUCAUCUUACAGGCAAGAAAACUGCAGCUUAGUGAGUGACCUUGGCGAAGGUCAGCUAGUUGGUAAGUUGGGAGUUGACCUUGAACCAGCCAUCACGUGGCCUCUCUUGCAGGAGAUCCAGCACAGUGUGUGACACGGAGCGUCACGACCGGCUUCAAGGACCCUCGAGUGUGAGGAUGCCCAGGGUCCUGUGUCGGAGGGCUUUGUAUGGACUUAGCGUAAUGCUCUGCCUUUGCUCUCUUCGAUUUGCUCAUCAUUUAACCUUGAGCUUGUGUGUUGUGAGUUGAGUUUGAUAGGACAGCAGAGUGUGUGCGUGGGCACAUACAGUAAGCAGGUAGCUGUGUGCAUGCAGGGCUGUGGUCCAGCUCCGCCCACAUGCACAGUGGGUGGUGCACAGAGAGAUGACUCCGAAGGCAUGUGCUUUUGCUGUGGGGCAGUUUGGGGUGCACGGGGCCCAAGAAGGUGGCUGGGCCUGGACCUGGCCUGGUGGUGGCCGCAGGGGAUAGAGGGCUCCACACGGGGGCAGUGCCAAGACCCAGGGUGGAAGGCUGGCUUGUCCUUUGUCCCCAGAGCCUGUCCCUGAGGCACCCACCUGAGCACCAGAAUAGAACCUGCUGUUCUGUCUUGCCUCUUGCUUCAGGGAGGGCUUAUUCAUCAUUCCAAGACGUUUCUGGAAUUCUUGCCAGCUAACGCCUAAGGUUUAUCCUAAGAUGAUCUUCUCUUCUAAGAAAAGAUAUUCUCCAUUUUCUUUUUUGCUUCACUUACCUUUCAUCGUUUUUCUUCCAAAUUCUGCAAAGUUACCCUCAAAUUCUCCUAUUUUCCUUUUCUCUUACUGAGUCCGACUAGUGAGUCAAAAGUAUGUUCAAUAAUUUCACAAAUAUUUAUGAUUUGCACUUAGGUUCUCGAUAAAGAUUUAUGACAAGAAUGAGCCCUAAAUAAAGAUUUUCCAGAUUGGAAGGGAUCCAGAUAAUUUAAUCAUUAACCUCCUUUGCUUUUCAAAAAUGGGAAACUUCAUUUUUCAAGAGUCUAAAGUCAUUUUUAUCUCAAGCAGCUGUUAUUAUUAGAAAGUCCUUUCUUAGGUUAAGCCAAAAAUCUGCCUCCUUUCCAGUAUCAAGAAGAAAAGGCUACUUUAAGAAAUGAACUUACGUAAAAGAAAGUGCUCUCAAUUUCCAAACCCUUGGAAGAUUCUAGUCAUCAAUUUCAGAACCAUCACAAACUUCUCCUAUCUCU